GAGCUCAAAUUUGAAAUCUGGCGUCCUCAGGGCGUCCGAGUUGUAAUCUAUAGAGGCGUUUUCCGUGCCGGACCGUGUCCAAGUUCCUUGGAACAGGAUAUCAAAGAGGGUGACAAUCCCGUACUUGACACGACGACCGGUGCUCUGUGAUACGUCUUCUACGAGUCGAGUUGUUUGGGAAUGCAGCUCAAAAUGGGUGGUGAGUUCCAUCUAAAGCUAAAUAUUGGCGAGAGACCGAUAGCGAACAAGUACCGUGAGGGAAAGAUGAAAAGCACUUUGGAAAGAGAGUUAAACAGUACGUGAAAUUGUUGAAAGGGAAACGAUUGAAGUCAGUCGUGACCGAGAGGCUCAGCCGGUUCUGCCGGUGUAUUCCCCUCGGUCGGGUCAACAUCAGUUUUGUCCGGUGGAUAAGGGCGGUAGGAAGGUGGCACCCUCGGGUGUGUUAUAGCCUGCCGUCGCAUACAUCGGGUGAGACUGAGGAACGCAGCUCGCCUUUAUGGCCGGGGUUCGCCCACGUCCGAGCUUAGGAUGUUGACAUAAUGGCUUUAAACGACCCGUCUUG
RNAcentral lists this ribosomal RNA (562 nucleotides) under Papiliotrema laurentii. RNAcentral's name for it is "eukaryotic LSU rRNA". It matches the Rfam family "Eukaryotic large subunit ribosomal RNA", at positions 104 to 656 of the family's 3401-position model. Lineage: Eukaryota; Fungi; Basidiomycota; Tremellomycetes; Tremellales; Rhynchogastremaceae. The record is from RNAcentral.